GCAAGAAUGAAACUCAAAGGAAUUGACGGGGGCCCGCACAAGCGGUGGAGCAUGUGGUUUAAUUCGAUGAUACGCGAGGAACCUUACCAGGGCUUAAAUGUAGUCUGACAGGUCUGGAAACAGACUUUUCUUCGGACAGAUUACAAGGUGCUGCAUGGUUGUCGUCAGCUCGUGCCGUGAGGUGUCAGGUUAAGUCCUAUAACGAGCGCAACCCCUGUGGUUAGUUGCCAGCGAGUAAUGUCGGGAACUCUAGCCAGACUGCCGGUGCAAACCGCGAGGAAGGUGGGGAUGACGUCAAAUCAUCACGGCCCUUACGUCCUGGGCCACACACGUGCUACAAUGGUAGGGACAGAGAGCAGCCACUUCGCGAGAAGGAGCGAAUCUACAAACCCUAUCACAGUUCGGAUCGCAGUCUGCAACUCGACUGCGUGAAGCUGGAAUCGCUAGUAAUCGCAUAUCAGCCAUGAUGCGGUGAAUACGUUCCCGGGCCUUGUACACACCGCCCGUCAAGCCAUGGAAGCCGGGGGUACCUGAAGUCGGUCACCGCAAGGAGCCGCCUAGGGUAAAACUGGUAACUGGGGCUAAGUCGUAACAAGGUAACCGUA
This 605-nucleotide ribosomal RNA is filed under the name uncultured bacterium. RNAcentral's name for it is "bacterial SSU rRNA". It matches the Rfam family "Bacterial small subunit ribosomal RNA", at positions 888 to 1504 of the family's 1533-position model. The record is from RNAcentral.